AGUGAACGCUGGCGGUAGGCCUAACACAUGCAAGUCGAACGGCAGCACAGUAAGAGCUUGCUCUUACGGGUGGCGAGUGGCGGACGGGUGAGGAAUACAUCGGAAUCUACUUUUUCGUGGGGGAUAACGUAGGGAAACUUACGCUAAUACCGCAUACGACCUACGGGUGAAAGCAGGGGAUCUUCGGACCUUGCGCGAUUGAAUGAGCCGAUGUCGGAUUAGCUAGUUGGCGGGGUAAAGGCCCACCAAGGCGACGAUCCGUAGCUGGUCUGGGAGGAUGAUCAGCCACACUGGAACUGAGACACGGUCCAGACUCCUACGGGAGGCAGCAGUGGGGAAUAUUGGACAAUGGGCGCAAGCCUGAUCCAGCCAUACCGCGUGGGUGAAGAAGGCCUUCGGGUUGUAAAGCCCUUUUGUUGGGAAAGAAAAGCAGCAGGUUAAUACCCCGCUGUUCUGACGGUACCCAAAAAAUAAGCACCGGCUAACUUCGUG
RNAcentral lists this ribosomal RNA (492 nucleotides) under uncultured bacterium. RNAcentral describes it as "partial 16S ribosomal RNA". It matches the Rfam family "Bacterial small subunit ribosomal RNA", at positions 29 to 507 of the family's 1533-position model. The record is from RNAcentral.